CCUACGGGAGGCAGCAGUGAGGAAUAUUGGUCAAUGGACGAGAGUCUGAACCAGCCAAGUAGCGUGAAGGAUGACUGCCCUAUGGGUUGUAAACUUCUUUUAUAUGGGAAUAAAACGUUCCACGUGUGGGAUUUUGUAUGUACCAUAUGAAUAAGGAUCGGCUAACUCCGUGCCAGCAGCCGCGGUAAUACGGAGGAUCCGAGCGUUAUCCGGAUUUAUUGGGUUUAAAGGGAGCGUAGGUGGAUUGUUAAGUCAGUUGUGAAAGUUUGCGGCUCAACCGUAAAAUUGCAGUUGAAACUGGCAGUCUUGAGUACAGUAGGGGUGGGCGGAAUUCGUGGUGUAGCGGUGAAAUGCUUAGAUAUCACGAAGAACUCCGAUUGCGAAGGCAGUUCACUGGACUGCAACUGACACUGAGGCUCGAAAGUGUGGGUAUCAAACAGGAUUAGAUACCCGAGUAGUC
Molecule: ribosomal RNA, 460 nt
Filed under: uncultured bacterium
Lineage: Bacteria
Description: partial 16S ribosomal RNA
Rfam family: Bacterial small subunit ribosomal RNA
Source: RNAcentral